RNAcentral lists this ribosomal RNA (503 nucleotides) under uncultured bacterium. RNAcentral's name for it is "partial 16S ribosomal RNA". It matches the Rfam family "Bacterial small subunit ribosomal RNA", at positions 28 to 523 of the family's 1533-position model. The record is from RNAcentral.
GAUGAACGCUAGCGAUAGGCCUAACACAUGCAAGUCGAGGGGCAGCAUAGAGUAGCAAUACUUUGAUGGCGACCGGCGCACGGGUGAGUAACACGUAUGCAACCUACCUACAUCAGGGGAAUAACCCGGAGAAAUUCGGACUAAUACCGCAUAAUACAGGGAUGCCGCAUGGCAAUAUUUGUUAAAGAUUUAUCGGAUGUAGAUGGGCAUGCGUUCCAUUAGCUUGUUGGUGAGGUUACGGCUCACCAAGGCAACGAUGGAUAGGGGAACUGAGAGGUUUGUCCCCCACACUGGAACUGAGACACGGACCAGACUCCUACGGGAGGCAGCAGUGAGGAAUAUUGGUCAAUGGACGAGAGUCUGAACCAGCCAAAUCGCGUGAAGGAAGACUGCCCUACGGGCCGUAAACUUCUUUUGUACAGGAAUAAAAGACAUUACGUGUAAUGCAUUGCAUGUACUGUACGAAUAAGCAUCGGCUAACUCCGUGCCAGCCGCCGCGGUAA